CCGGUGAAUGCCAGCCUGUGGCCCUGCCCCGCGUGGGGAGGCGGGACCCUGUCCUCACCGUGCUGAUGAGCCAACAGGACAAGACGCAGCGUUGGUUGAGUGCUUAUAGUGCUCACCAGACGCUGGACCUACUGGAUGUCACAAAAGCCCUGCAAGAUGGGAGCUGUCAUUGCGACCUCCACUUCAAAGGUAGAAGAACAGAGGCUCAGAGAUUAGCACGGGCUGGUAUUUAGGAUCCUUACCUUCUGAGGUGGUCGGGAAGCUUGAAUGGGUCACUGAAGGGGUUUCCCAUGGUGUCCAGCAUCCAGGCCAUGUCCAGUAAACUGAGGGAUCAGGGUAUCUUGCAUUCUGCAGCCAACUGUCUGCAUUUGAAUCUUGCUCUUGUCCCUAAUGUGCUGUGUGGCCUCAGGCAAGUCACUUAACCUCUCUGAACCAGUUUCCACAUCCAUAAAAUGGGAAAUCCACACCUGGGGCAGGGUUUCAGAACCUUAGUCCUGUUGGCGUUUUGGCCUAUGUCUUUCUGUGGCUCAGGGCUGUCCUGUGUGUUGGAAGAUGCUUUGUGACAUCCCUGGCCUCAAUCCACUCGAUGCCAGUAGCUCUCUCUCCCUGAACAGUUGGGACAACCAAACAUGUCCCCGCAUUUCUCCAGUGUUGUGGGGGUCCUGGGCCUGGCUCUCCUGCCUGGCAGGAGACCUAACAUCUCAGAGGUCCUAUGGGGUGGGUGUCUCUCAAGCCCAAGGACCCCAGGAGGGGGUGUGGUGAUCCCCGUUUUACAGGUGGAAAACUAAGGCCCAGAGAGGAGUGUGGCUGUGCCUGACCUCACUUGCUACAGCUGUACCCAUUCUCCAGAGAGCAAACGAGGCUCGUUGGCUCAAGCCACCAGCCCGGGGCCACGUUCCAUUAACUAGCAGAACUGAGAUUAGAACCCAGACCCGAAUGACUCCGAAGUCCAGGCUCUUCCUCCCUGUCGAGGUCCAGCGGGGAGCUGGCCUGGUCCUGUGUGUCCUCCCGUGGUGUCUUUCCCUCUCUGGUCCAAGGUUUUCCUCCUAGAAGCCACAAAACAAAUAAGGUGGGAACCAAUGUGUCCCUCUCCACACGUGAUGGGCAGUGGGGGUGGUGGGGACGCACGAGAGGCCACUCUUCAGACCUGUCCCAGCCUCCCAGGUGGAAUGGGAAGAGUACUGGAACUCGGUCCUCAGGGCCCAGCUGCCUGGCCAGCACUGGACUGCAGAGGGCGGGAGCCACAGCCACCCAGGGCCUCCCUGCCCUGCCCUGGCUCCUGGCUGAGCCCUGGGGCUGGGAGCCUGAGAGAGUCCCCUCCCCACUGACCAGUCAUGUGACUGUUCCCUCUGGCAGCCUCAGUCUCCUUGUGUGGGAGCACAGUGGGCUGGGGUUGGCCAGCAGAGGAGAGGGCAUGGCCAGCCCCGAGAGCCCCCUGCUGGGGAGGCCCACCUGAGUCUGGGCCUUGGGAUCACAACAUUGGUGCCAGAGGAGGAAACCGAGGACCCCUGGGCCACCCACAGUGGCUGUUCUGGGCACCUGCUGGGCGGGUGGCUGUCUGUGUGGGGCCCUGGCCAGCAUCUUCUCCCCUGAGGCUCAGAUGCCCCCAUUUUACAGGUGAGG
This 1623-nucleotide long non-coding RNA is filed under the name Marmota monax (woodchuck). Lineage: Eukaryota; Metazoa; Chordata; Mammalia; Rodentia; Sciuridae. The record is from RNAcentral.